RNAcentral lists this long non-coding RNA (201 nucleotides) under Mytilus galloprovincialis (Mediterranean mussel). Lineage: Eukaryota; Metazoa; Mollusca; Bivalvia; Mytilida; Mytilidae. The record is from RNAcentral.
AGGAACUACAAUACAAGGAUUUCUGAAAUUUGGUUUCAGGAUUUUUAUAAGUCAGCUAUACCGUGUCAUGCGUUUUCAGAUUCAUCACUCGACAACUUCCUGUUUACCGAACACUUGCAUAUUUUUACACUAUUAAUAUUAUCCACUUGCGGCGGGGGUAUCAUCAGUGAGCAGUAGCUCGCAGUUUCACUUGUUUCUUUU